UGGCUCAGAGGUUAAAGCGUCUGCCUCCAAUGCAGGAGACCCGGGUUCAAUCCCUGG
This is a transfer RNA of Ovis aries (sheep), 57 nucleotides long. It matches the Rfam family "tRNA", at positions 8 to 63 of the family's 71-position model. From Rfam's summary of the family: Transfer RNA (tRNA) molecules are approximately 80 nucleotides in length. Their secondary structure includes four short double-helical elements and three loops (D, anti-codon, and T loops). The record is from Rfam. NCBI's taxonomy places the organism in Eukaryota, Metazoa, Chordata, Mammalia, Artiodactyla, Bovidae.